Long non-coding RNA from Mytilus californianus (California mussel), 344 nucleotides. RefSeq lists it as uncharacterized. The record is from RefSeq and is a predicted model, not a curated record. Lineage: Eukaryota; Metazoa; Mollusca; Bivalvia; Mytilida; Mytilidae. The transcript is spliced from 3 exons.
UCUCUUUGUAGAACCAAGUUAAAGAUUUAACAUCAAGUGAGGAGAUGGAGAUAGAAGAAUAUUAUCAUGUUAGCACAAGCAGUAGUGGUGCUUCAUGUAGUGGUGCUACAUGUAGUGGUAAUGUCAUUACUAGACCACCAACCAUAUGCUGUGUUGAAAUAGACACAAAGAUGACAUAUCAUUAGUGCAAGAGGCUAGUGAAAUAUUCCUCAAUGAGCCGAUGGAAGUGGAAGCAGAUAUAUUAAUAAACCAUAACGAUACAGUUGGUAUUGACAACCAAAAACAUUUAUUUUAAAAAAAGAAACAAGAAGAAGAGAAGGGGGAGGAAGAAGAAGCAGAUAAAU